This 672-nucleotide ribosomal RNA is filed under the name uncultured Lachnospiraceae bacterium. RNAcentral describes it as "bacterial SSU rRNA". It matches the Rfam family "Bacterial small subunit ribosomal RNA", at positions 63 to 737 of the family's 1533-position model. The record is from RNAcentral. Lineage: Bacteria; Bacillati; Bacillota; Clostridia; Lachnospirales; Lachnospiraceae.
CGAACGAAGCACCUUACCUGAUUCUUCGGAUGAAGGUCUGGUGACUGAGUGGCGGACGGGUGAGUAACGCGUGGGUAACCUGCCCUGUACAGGGGGAUAACAGUUGGAAACGGCUGCUAAUACCGCAUAAGCGCACGAGAGGACAUCCUCUUGUGUGAAAAACUCCGGUGGUACAGGAUGGGCCCGCGUCUGAUUAGCUGGUUGGCAGGGUAACGGCCUACCAAGGCGACGAUCAGUAGCCGGUCUGAGAGGAUGAACGGCCACAUUGGAACUGAGACACGGUCCAAACUCCUACGGGAGGCAGCAGUGGGGAAUAUUGCACAAUGGGGGAAACCCUGAUGCAGCAACGCCGCGUGAGUGAAGAAGUAUUUCGGUAUGUAAAGCUCUAUCAGCAGGGAGGAUAAUGACGGUACCUGACUAAGAAGCUCCGGCUAAAUACGUGCCAGCAGCCGCGGUAAUACGUAUGGAGCAAGCGUUAUCCGGAUUUACUGGGUGUAAAGGGUGCGUAGGUGGCAGUGCAAGUCAGAUGUGAAAGGCCGGGGCUCAACCCCGGAGCUGCAUUUGAAACUGCAUAGCUGGAGUACAGGAGAGGCAGGCGGAAUUCCUAGUGUAGCGGUGAAAUGCGUAGAUAUUAGGAGGAACACCAGUGGCGAAGGCGGCCUGCUGGACUGU